RNAcentral lists this ribosomal RNA (254 nucleotides) under uncultured bacterium. Its description in RNAcentral is "partial 16S ribosomal RNA". It matches the Rfam family "Bacterial small subunit ribosomal RNA", at positions 524 to 776 of the family's 1533-position model. The record is from RNAcentral.
UACGGAGGGGGCUAGCGUUGUUCGGAAUUACUGGGCGUAAAGCGCGCGUAGGCGGACCUGCAAGUCGGGGGGUGAAAGCCCGAGGCUCAACCUCGGAACUGCCUUCGAUACUGCGGGUCUCGAGUCCGGGAGAGGUGAGUGGAAUUCCUAGUGUAGAGGUGAAAUUCGUAGAUAUUAGGAAGAACACCAGUGGCGAAGGCGGCUCACUGGCCCGGUACUGACGCUGAGGCGCGAAAGCGUGGGGAGCAAACAGG